RNAcentral lists this non-coding RNA (25 nucleotides) under Cricetulus griseus (Chinese hamster). Lineage: Eukaryota; Metazoa; Chordata; Mammalia; Rodentia; Cricetidae. The record is from RNAcentral.
UGGAGACUGCAGAGUGUGAUUGGGA